This 254-nucleotide ribosomal RNA is filed under the name uncultured bacterium. RNAcentral describes it as "partial 16S ribosomal RNA". It matches the Rfam family "Bacterial small subunit ribosomal RNA", at positions 524 to 776 of the family's 1533-position model. The record is from RNAcentral.
GACAGAGGUGGCUAGCGUUGUUCGGAUUCAUUGGGUGUAAAGGGUGCGUAGGCGGUUUAGAAAGUCAGAUGUGAAAUCCCACAGCUCAACUGUGGAACUGCAUCUGAAACUUCUGAACUUGAGUGCGAGAGAGGUAAAGGGAAUUCCCGGUGUAAGGGUGAAAUCUGCAGAGAUCGGGAGGAACACCAGUAGCGAAGGCGCUUUACUGGCUCGUAACUGACGCUGAGUGCACGAAGGUAUGGGGAGCAAACGGG